This 292-nucleotide ribosomal RNA is filed under the name uncultured bacterium. RNAcentral's name for it is "partial 16S ribosomal RNA". It matches the Rfam family "Bacterial small subunit ribosomal RNA", at positions 505 to 796 of the family's 1533-position model. The record is from RNAcentral.
GUGUCAGCAGCCGCGGUAAUACGUAGGCAGCAAGCGUUGUUCGGAAUUACUGGGCGUAAAGAGUACGUAGGUGGUUUGCCAAGUCCGAUGUGAAAUCUCCUGGCUUAACUGGGAGGGUGCGUUAGAUACUGGCAGGCUUGAGUGUGGGAGAGGAGAGCGGAAUUCCUGGUGUAGCGGUGAAAUGCGUAGAUAUCAGGAGGAACGCCUGUGGUGUAGACGGCUCUCUGGACCAUUACUGACACUGAGGUACGAAAGCGUGGGUAGCAAACAGGAUUAGAAACCCCUGUAGUCC